RNAcentral lists this ribosomal RNA (474 nucleotides) under uncultured bacterium. RNAcentral's name for it is "bacterial SSU rRNA". It matches the Rfam family "Bacterial small subunit ribosomal RNA", at positions 335 to 799 of the family's 1533-position model. The record is from RNAcentral.
ACUCCUACGGGAGGCAGCAGUAGGGAAUCUUCCACAAUGGGCGCAAGCCUGAUGGAGCAACACCGCGUGAGUGAAGAAGGGUUUCGGUCUCGUAAAGCUCUGUUGUUAAAGAAGAACACGUAUGAGAGUAACUGUUCAUACGUUGACGGUAUUUAACCAGAAAGUCACGGCUAACUACGUGCCAGCAGCCGCGGUAAUACGUAGGUGGCAAGCGUUAUCCGGAUUUAUUGGGCGUAAAGAGAGUGCAGGCGGUUUUCUAAGUCUGAUGUGAAAGCCUUCGGCUUAACCGGAGAAGUGCAUCGGAAACUGGAUAACUUGAGUGCAGAAGAGGGUAGUGGAACUCCAUGUGUAGCGGUGGAAUGCGUAGAUAUAUGGAAGAACACCAGUGGCGAAGGCGGCUACCUGGUCUGCAACUGACGCUGAGACUCGAAAGCAUGGGUAGCGAACAGGAUUAGAUACCCUGGUAGCUCGAUG